This 253-nucleotide ribosomal RNA is filed under the name uncultured bacterium. Its description in RNAcentral is "partial 16S ribosomal RNA". It matches the Rfam family "Bacterial small subunit ribosomal RNA", at positions 524 to 776 of the family's 1533-position model. The record is from RNAcentral.
UACGUAGGGGGCUAGCGUUGUCCGGAAUCAUUGGGCGUAAAGAGCGUGUAGGCGGUCCGGUAAGUCCGCUGUGAAAGUCGGGGGCUCAACCCUCGAAUGCCGGUGGAUACUGUCGGGCUCGAGUCCGGAAGAGGCGAGUGGAAUUCCUGGUGUAGCGGUGAAAUGCGCAGAUAUCAGGAGGAACACCAAUGGCGAAGGCAGCUCGCUGGGACGUGACUGACGCUGAGACGCGAAAGCGUGGGGAGCAAACAGG